GUUUUAGUCUUUCCCCUCCACCCAGCUAAUGCUGAGUUAAAGCCCAUCUCCUUUCUGUCCUAUCUCCAUUUUGUAGAUUUCUAUGUCCUCCCCCCCUACCACUAGUUUAAAAUCUACUCCAAUUAAUAACUCAAGUCAUAUGGCAAGCGAAAAUGGAAAGGGGUAUACUGAUGAACAUUGGAAACAGAUACACACAGAUAGAGGAUUGGGACACAUG
Molecule: non-coding RNA, 217 nt
Organism: Pelobates cultripes (western spadefoot toad)
Lineage: Eukaryota; Metazoa; Chordata; Amphibia; Anura; Pelobatidae
Source: the annotation of a GenBank genome assembly